RNAcentral lists this ribosomal RNA (253 nucleotides) under uncultured bacterium. RNAcentral's name for it is "partial 16S ribosomal RNA". It matches the Rfam family "Bacterial small subunit ribosomal RNA", at positions 524 to 776 of the family's 1533-position model. The record is from RNAcentral.
UACGUAGGGCGCAAGCGUUAUCCGGAAUUAUUGGACGUAAAGAGCUCGUAGGCGGUUUGUCGCGUCUGCCGUGAAAGUCCGGGGCUCAACUCCGGAUCUGCGGUGGGUACGGGCAGACUAGAGUGAUGUAGGGGAGACUGGAAUUCCUGGUGUAGCGGUGAAAUGCGCAGAUAUCAGGAGGAACACCGAUGGCGAAGGCAGGUCUCUGGGCAUUAACUGACGCUGAGGAGCGAAAGCGUGGGGAGCGAACAGG